This 912-nucleotide small RNA is filed under the name Malus domestica (apple). RNAcentral describes it as "sRNA MD05G0052500". Lineage: Eukaryota; Viridiplantae; Streptophyta; Magnoliopsida; Rosales; Rosaceae. The record is from RNAcentral.
GCAUAACACUACAUGAGCGUGUUCCAUUUGCUUCUGGAGUCUCUCUAUUUCUCUCUCUCACAAAUCAGAAACCUAAACAUCUCUUCUCUCAAAAUCAACGAACCAUAACACGAUCUCGCUCAAAACCUGCAACCGCAACACGAAUCCAAAACAUUUCGAUUUCAAGUUGGCCUGCGGAGAUUUGAUUCAAAUUUAUGGAUUUGGGAUUUUGGUCUUUGAAAUGGAAAUGGGUGAGUUUGGGAAAUGGGUUGUCUGAAUCCAAAGCUAAAGACUUGAAAUGAAGGAGAUUUGAGUAGUUGGAGCAUUUCCCCAAAGUUUGAUUCACGAAGUUGGAAAGGCUCAAGAUGUUGAUGUCAAUAGGAUUGUGCUUUUUCCCAAAGUUCAGAUGCUUUGAAAGGAAUCAAAGGGCAAUUUAGAAAGCUUCACCAUUUUGGAGUGGUCCUUUAUAUAUGUUGAUGAUACUUCAAAUUGCGUUGGUGGUUAAAGAAGGGCUUUUUAUUUUUUUAUUUUUUUAAUACAGCAGUUAAAGAAAUUAUCAAUCAUAGAUUUACCGUGGACUUCGUUAGUAAAUCUUAAUCAUAAAUCAAAAUUUUCAUUUGUUUUCUAUUAAAAAGUUGAAUAUUCUGAUUAUGUGCAAUGAUGUAAUUAUCAAUUAUAAACAACAUGACGAUUUCUUAUAUGCACUGGAAAACUACUAUCCAAUAAAAUGAACAUAAUCGGAAGAUUUUCGUUAAAGUCCACUAAAAAUUAUAGAGAAAUCGAUCCAGAACUAACUAAAUAAAAGACAAAAGACAGUGUCAAAAUUGUAGGGUUGUUUUGUUCAUUCCAAGUUUCCGAGAGAUUUUUCAAUGUGACCGAUACACAGGUUGGUAUUCACGUGUCAUUAUACACAUAGUGAGAUAUGUGUGUUAA